UGGACUUGCCUGGGGACAACAUCCCAAAGGAUGGCAUCUUGAACUUGGGCAUUUUGAACUUGCUGUCUUUGGCAGUCACGUCCUUGUCAGCCAGGGACAGGUCUCCCUCCAGCCGCCCAGCAUCCAGCUUGGCCUUCGGGGCCUGGACAUCCACCUCCACGCUGGGCAGAGACACCUCGACAUCGGGGACUCUCACUUCUGCCUUGGGGCCUUUCAGGUCCAGCUUGGGGCCCUUAACAUCUAUCUGGGGGCCCUUGAGGUCCACUUUGGGCAUCUUGAAACUGGGCAUCUCCACUUUGGGCAGGUGC
This 308-nucleotide long non-coding RNA is filed under the name Homo sapiens (human). Its description in RNAcentral is "HSALNT0216747". The record is from RNAcentral. Lineage: Eukaryota; Metazoa; Chordata; Mammalia; Primates; Hominidae.